Molecule: long non-coding RNA, 2933 nt
Organism: Amphiprion ocellaris (clown anemonefish)
Lineage: Eukaryota; Metazoa; Chordata; Actinopteri; Pomacentridae
Exons: 5
Source: RefSeq, a predicted model, not a curated record
GGCGGAGCCAGAGAGCAGUGAUUGGUCAGACCAUAGAUAAUAUAGAAGACAGGGCGCUAGCGGAUCUAGUCUCUGUAUGUCUAUGGUCAGCACGUCUGGUAGCAUCUCUGGCUGCUGUUGAUCUUGUUUUUGGAGUAAAACACGGUGGAAGCUGAAUUAGUGAGGAUGACUCCUGCUCCUGUCAUCUCUAAGCUCCUCACACAUCUUUACCUGCACAUGAGGAAAAUCACUCCUGUAGAAUGCAGUGGUUCAUCAGAACCUCUGGGGAUGUCCUGUGGAUUCUGUGGAUCCUGUGGGUUGCAGGGUGGGUCCUACCUAGACCAGGCUGAUCCUGGACCAUCCCACAGAUGCUCCAUCAGAUGUGGAUGUGGGGAGUGUGGAACCCAGAUGUUCAGAGGGAGAUGAUGCCACAUCUGGUCCAGCUGAUGGAAGGUCUUGAAGUUCUCUGACUGGCCUCGACUGAAGAUGGUCGUCUCACUGGAUUUAAGGUUCAGAUGCUCAGUAACAAACUCCACCAAUGAGCCAACAGGGAAGCUUUAGGUUUAUUAAAUGUUGCUAUGAAGGUAUCGCUGUUUUUCUUUGUGAAUGCAAUGUGCUCCAACUGAAACUUGAAUUAGAACUUUGAAGUAAAUCCUUCCAUCUGAAAGGAUUUAGUUGCAUUAAUAACCUCAUAACAUUCUAAUUUUUAUUCCAGUCUUAGUUGGAAAUAGAAUCUCUGUAUUGAUUCAGGUAAUAACUGAACUUCACAGCAUGUUGAAGCAAAACAACCAGAUGAAAACUGUGAUGGUGUUGGAUUGUCAGACCGUAAUGUUGCAGCUCAAAGCAGCUUUUCUAUCUCAGUUCAUUCUGACAUUCAGCUAUGAAUCAACACAGCAGAUGGUGAGCCAUGCUGUGGAAGUCUCACAUCUCCUGAUUUAAUGGAGCUGCUUUGCACUUUUUACACUGUUUAUUCACCAACACUUUAUUUAAUACAAGUCCCAUCUAGUUUUCAUGAGGAAUGUGAUGUUUUAAUGUCUCUGUGAAUAACUGCAGUCUAAUGCAACAGCUGGAGUUGUAACAUCUGUCCUGAUAUUGAUCAUGAAGUAUUGAUCAGAAUACUUAUGGUCAGCAGUCAUUCCUGAAGUUUUACAUUAAAAUCUUUACUUGUGUUGUGAACUUUAGUAAGAAGCAGAAACGUUAGCGUUGCCAUGGAUACAUGAGUGUUAAAUUCUGUCCAUGUUUCCAUUUUGGGAAAUGCAGUCCAGUUCCAGAAUGUGGAGAAAUUUAGUCUCACAAUCACAGACAAAAAAUAUUAUCUGAAAGUCGGGUUAUUGUUGUUUAUCAGCACAAUACAAAAAGAUUAAUGUUAGAAAUAUUCCAGUUCAGACUCUAGAAUAUCAUGAUUUAUGUAAAUUUACCUCAAUAAUAUGAAUGUUCAGGUUAAGAUUAUACAGCGAUAUUUAUUAUGUAAGUUUAGCUGAUUAAAGUUUAUGACUCUGCACUAAAAUAUUAUUUAAAUUGACAUCAUUAUUCUAAUAUUGAGGGUCAGACCCAGUAUUGAGAUAAAGAAAUCAAAUAUUCUAUAAAAUGUAAAUACACUGAACUCAUUUGGAUAUAUUUAAGUGAGACUCUACAAUAUUAUUUGACACAAAUCUAUCUAAAUCAAAAGUUUAAUAAUUUUCAUGUCAAACAUUUACUGGACUGAUUUAAAUAAUAAAAUCACUCCUUUCUAAUCCUCUGCUGUACGUUCAAACCUGAGGCCUUAAAUAGAAACACACAAGUAUCUGUUUGAAGGAACUUCUGCAGAGUCCUGGUUCCAGAACAUGAUGAUAGAAUUAUAGCCAAACUUUAACAAAAGCUGCCUGAGAGUUUACAGGUUUUUAUGUUGGAUUUCUUCAGUAAUUUAAUGAGCGUUAUCAGCAAUAAUCAAGUGUUCAUUUGAUGAACUUCAUUUCCUAAAACAUCCAGAAUUGGAGCUCAUAUCUUUGGCAGCUGUAAAGUUUCUGCUCCUUCAAAGUUCACAACACAAUGAAUUAAUUCCUAAAACACUCUCAGUGCUGGAGAACAUUUGAUGCUGAAGCAGUGAUCAGUUUUUCUGUUUCUUCUCUGGAGAUGCACCAUGAGGGACGUCUGCAGCGACUGAGAAAGAGUCUCGCCACAUCCUUACAUGAGGAAAAAGACUUUAUUGAAGACUACAAUGAGAAAAAAUAUCAGACAGCAGACGGCUGCAUUCAAGUCUGUAGCUGCUGAAUUCAUGGAUGAAUCAUCUGGCACUAGAGAGGAAGACCAUCAAACAUCCACGUCAGCUGAUGGAGGUCCAAGAGUCUCACCAAACAAACAACCUACAGAGUGAAGACCUCAAAUCUGAUUGGACGGCCUCCUAUUCAGCCACGUGUGAACAAAUGCCUCUAAGCUGAUUUGUUUUCUAAAAUAAAUCUAGUUUGAGUCCUAAUCUAUGCCUGUGUGUUUGCUUCUUUACACCGCUGUUAACAGUUUAGGCUGUUAGAUUGUUCCAGAUAAGACAAGUACAAGAUUCUUCAGAGCCGUUCUACCACGAGCCUGACAGGAAGAACUCCAACAGCUACUGAAUGUUCCUGUGGUCCCCUCAAGGCUACAGGAGGAGCCCUACGAGGACGAGCUGGUCCACCUGAUGGCGGCCAGUCGCUGCGGUUCAAAGCCAACACCGACUACGUGGACUUCUACUGGACCACACGGAGACCUUCAAACCGGACCAACAAGUUCAUCGACUCCCCGACUCGUGGGUCUGAGGACGCCGCCGAGCCUCGGCCCAGCCGGCCUCCUGUCUGUGGGUGUUUGAGUGCUGAGAGGUUUGUGGAUGCAUGUGAACGUUCUGUGUUGAAACAGCAGCUUUGGACUCAGUAACGCCAGGAAAAACCAAGAGCUCCUUUAUUUGUGACUUCCACUAAAAAACUGAUGAAAAUAAGUUUGCCAGG